AGUUUGAUUUUAGUUCCUCUAAGG
Molecule: microRNA, 24 nt
Filed under: Lotus japonicus
Lineage: Eukaryota; Viridiplantae; Streptophyta; Magnoliopsida; Fabales; Fabaceae
Description: lja-miR11155d-5p
Source: miRBase by way of RNAcentral